UUUUAAAAAAAUUUUAUAUAACAAGCUGAGUAUCUCGCUUUCAGUCUAAUUCUCAUUGCUGUUUUGUGCUGAUUACUCUCUUGGCUUCGUCAGGGAUAUAUCAGUAUGAAAUCGAUGCAUCACAAGCGUAAGGCAUUACAGACCCAUUCAUUGCCCACUGAUACCACGCACAUCGGCAAUGACCAACUAUAAUAGCCAAGCUGCUGGACCACGAACAUCAGAAUAUUUCGACGUCGGCAAUAAAUUCGCACAUUCGAAGUAUUAGAAGUAGAAUUUUAGAGUUUAUAUACUAGACGUAAUUUCAUCGUGAUAAGAUUAAUAAAUUUUAAAUUUUAAAA
Molecule: long non-coding RNA, 338 nt
Organism: Drosophila nasuta
Lineage: Eukaryota; Metazoa; Arthropoda; Insecta; Diptera; Drosophilidae
Exons: 2
Source: RefSeq, a predicted model, not a curated record